Molecule: long non-coding RNA, 2024 nt
Organism: Perognathus longimembris pacificus (Pacific pocket mouse)
Lineage: Eukaryota; Metazoa; Chordata; Mammalia; Rodentia; Heteromyidae
Exons: 3
Source: RefSeq, a predicted model, not a curated record
AAACUUUGCAACUCAGGCCAUCAAAUAUCUAUCAAGAGCCCAUACAGAAACAGGGUGACAAACACUGGACACAGCAGGGAGACAGAGGGGCCCACCACGAGGACCACAUGAGCCCAGAAGUACAGAAUUGAGGAAAGCCAUGAGCCCAUCUGCUGGCCCCACCACAUCCCACAAACCUUGAAGAGUUGGGCUGGCACUAAUAAUCGUGUCUGUGAAAUAAAUGCUGCUAUGGUAAUCUUUUCUUAGAUUUGACACAUUUUUCUGGCUCAUAAGUCUGUCCUGUUCUGAAGACACCCAACCCCUUCCCUGAAUUCUUUUCCUUUGGCUGUUCUUCCUAAAAUGAUACUUUUCCUGCUUUCAGACAAUCCUGGAAUUUUUUAACUCAUCUCUACAUAUCAUUAUCAAUGUAUACCCACAAUGUCGGGAUCAAGAACAAGUAACAAACAUUGACCAUCUAACUUCCCAACAACCAUUGGACACUCCACAAAUUCUUCCAAUCGUGAGACUUUAUGAUUCCAUGACACACUUGGAGCUACUUUUCUAUGAGAACUACAAAUGAAUAAAAUUAUCCUAGCCUAAGAUGUUAUUACAAAGGCAAACACAUCCACAUUUUAAUAAUACUAUGUUUUCCCAAACUGACAACAUACCUUCACUGUCGAUGCACAGGACAGCAGGGAUGUGCUUGAGUAACCCUGGACUGGGCCAUACUUAGUGGUGUAAUUGACAACUAACACACAGGGCCUUCUAAAGAUGAGCUACGUGCAAAAUCCAAGCUACAUAAUAAAACGCAAUGACUUAACAUGUUUCAGAUUGUAUGACAGUUCACAUCUGAGAAUAUGUAAUUAUUUUGCUAUGCUUCCCAGAAUUGAAUAUUAAUGCUCUGGAGGUCUUAGCACUAGAAAAUCGAAAAGUUGGACUCCAUCUUUGAGUCUUUCUGAACAGUGUUACAGACAUAAAAAGAAGCUGUGCCUAUGCUCAUACACAACAUUACCUCGUACGUCAUCAGUGCACUGUUUACAUAUUCAGAGUAGAAAGCUUAUCCAUAAGAUCUUCAUACUAUAUCUCACAACAUAAAGUUCAAGUUCGCAUUCAAAACACAGAAAAAGGCCAGAAAGCCACAUUUCUCUAUAUAAGGUAUGACCUUGAGGGUAAGCACCAUAGCAUUCUUGCUUUUCUGAGCCAAUGUCCUAUCUACUUCUAUACAAUUAGAUAAAUAUCCUAGGCAGUUCUAGACAGAAAAGUACUGACCAUCUGGGUGCUAAUCUGGCCUCUACCAUUUCUUCGCUGUGUGACCCUGCAAAGCAACUUAACCAUUCUGGGUAUUAGUUUCCUUGUGUGGAAAACAGAAGACAUAAUCAAAAUAUCACCUUCCUCACAAAGUAAUUGUCAUACUUAGUAAGUGUGAAGUAUCUUCCUCUCCUCAAUCUCUUGUUAACCCUAAACUGGGUUAAUUGGAAGGAUUCUGAGUAGGUUGCUGCUAGGAUGUAGCAAAACAAACACCAGGAAGCCACUGAGUCCCAGAGAAAAAGGUUUUGUAAUGACUAUGGCUGAACUGGCUGAGUCAUAUUAAGUCUGGAAUUCUCUAGGACAUAAACAGAGCUGUCACAUAGGACACUGAAGAGACAAAAACAAAGGGUUUCAGAGGUGAGGAGUUCUCAGGACUGACAUUCAUGGAGCAGGGCUGGAGAAGUGAGAAAUGGGCUGUGUACUAUGUUGAAGUGGGGAGAGAACAGAAGAUUCCUCCAUUGACUAAAAACAAUUUUUUUUCUAUUUCUUUUUUAAAUACCAGGGGCUGAACUCAGGAUCUCAUGCUGGAGCCACUCCCAAUAUUUUUGCUUUUAUGUUUCAUUUAGGGUCUCACGCUUUGGCCCUGAUUAACUUCAAGUCUCAAUCUUCCUGUCUCUAUGCUUCUCACAUGGCAGCAAUUACAGGCAUGCACCACCACAUCCAGCUCCAUCAAGCACCAACCUAACCUACGGGAAAAAAAAACCAAGGGGCCUGGGGCUGGGAAUAUGGCCUAGUGG